UAUGCGGUAAAAUGAUAAUAAUAAUGAUAAUCCCCAGGCGGAUAACGUCGAGCGGCGGGUCAACUGCGGAUAAUAGCACACACACGUCGGAAACUUUUCGAACGAGUCGUUUAAUUGAAAGCCACGCACUUCUGCAGCCGUUACCGCGCGGAAAGAGCCCAGGGAAACUUUUCGAACGAGUGUCACGCUGCCGCCGUCGCGGUCGUCGGUCGACAACUGUAUUAGACGCGUGUCCGCCGCAACGAUAUAAGAGUAGGCCACCGCGAGCCCAUCGAUCAUUUCCAUAGGUCGACGGAUAAAUUAUUCU
Cinara cedri is the source of this 307-nucleotide non-coding RNA. NCBI's taxonomy places the organism in Eukaryota, Metazoa, Arthropoda, Insecta, Hemiptera, Aphididae. The record is from the annotation of a GenBank genome assembly.